RNAcentral lists this ribosomal RNA (433 nucleotides) under uncultured bacterium. RNAcentral's name for it is "partial 16S ribosomal RNA". It matches the Rfam family "Bacterial small subunit ribosomal RNA", at positions 29 to 507 of the family's 1533-position model. The record is from RNAcentral.
AACGAACGCUGGCGGCAUGCCUAACACAUGCAAGUCGAACGAGACCUUCGGGUCUAGUGGCGCACGGGUGCGUAACGCGUGGGAACCUGCCCUUAGGUUCGGCAUAACUCCCCGAAAGGGGUGCUAAUACCGGAUAAUGUCUUCGGACCAAAGAUUUAUCGCCUUUGGAUGGGCCCGAGUUGGAUUAGCUAGUUGGUAGGGUAAAAGCCUACCAAGGCGACGAUCCAUAGCUGGUCUGAGAGGAUGAUCAGCCACACUGGGACUGAGACACGGCCCAGACUCCUACGGGAGGCAGCAGUGGGGAAUAUUGGACAAUGGGCGAAAGCCUGAUCCAGCAAUGCCGCGUGAGUGAUGAAGGCCUUAGGGUUGUAAAGCUCUUUUACCCGGGAUGAUAAUGACAGUACCGGGAGAAUAAGCUCCGGCUAACUCCGUG